This 72-nucleotide transfer RNA is filed under the name Chitinivibrionales bacterium. RNAcentral describes it as "tRNA-Glu". It matches the Rfam family "tRNA". Rfam says of the family: Transfer RNA (tRNA) molecules are approximately 80 nucleotides in length. Lineage: Bacteria; Pseudomonadati; Fibrobacterota; Chitinivibrionia; Chitinivibrionales. The record is from RNAcentral.
GGCGCUAUCGUCUAGUGGUUAGGACUCAGGAUUCUCAUUCCUGCAACCGGGGUUCGACUCCCCGUAGCGCUA